Long non-coding RNA from Dunckerocampus dactyliophorus (ringed pipefish), 315 nucleotides. RefSeq lists it as uncharacterized. The record is from RefSeq and is a predicted model, not a curated record. The transcript is spliced from 3 exons. NCBI's taxonomy places the organism in Eukaryota, Metazoa, Chordata, Actinopteri, Syngnathiformes, Syngnathidae.
GCUUCCUCUCUGAACAACACGGACACCCGACCUCACAUCACAUGGCUACGUGUCAACAAUAGGCAGGAAUGGGCAUUUGCGAAGGUUUAUAGAAGACCUCAGGCGUAAACAGGCGUCAUGUGUUGAGGAGGAGCGUUACAAAACCGUCUGAGGGGCAGGAAAGGCCUACAGGAGCACUUGACAACAAUGAAAGUCAUCUCAUCUUUCCUGCCACCGAGAGGAAGCUGGACUUGAAGCGAGACGCUGUCUGGGUCUGUUUAAAAGUCACAGUAGGAUAAGGCUUCUUUAACACGGAGAAAUAAAAAUGUUGGAGAU